RNAcentral lists this ribosomal RNA (461 nucleotides) under uncultured bacterium. Its description in RNAcentral is "partial 16S ribosomal RNA". It matches the Rfam family "Bacterial small subunit ribosomal RNA", at positions 338 to 795 of the family's 1533-position model. The record is from RNAcentral.
CCUACGGGUGGCAGCAGUGAGGAAUAUUGGUCAAUGGGCGGAAGCCUGAACCAGCCAAGUAGCGUGCGGGAUGAAGGCCCUACGGGUCGUAAACCGCUUUUGCACGGGGAUAACACCCUCCACUUGUGGAGGUCUGCAGGUACCGUGCGAAUAAGGGCCGGCUAAUUCCGUGCCAGCAGCCGCGGUAAUACGGAAGGCCCGAGCGUUAUCCGGAUUUAUUGGGUUUAAAGGGUGCGUAGGCUGUGAGGUAAGUCAGCGGUGAAAUGCCCCCGCUCAACGGGGUGAAGUGCCAUUGAUACUGCCUUGCUGGAAUGCGGAUGCCGUGGGAGGAAUGUGUGGUGUAGCGGUGAAAUGCAUAGAUAUCACACAGAACACCGAUUGCGAAGGCAUCUCACGAAUCCGCGAUUGACGCUGAUGCACGAAAGCGUGGGUAUCAAACAGGAUUAGAUACCCGUGUAGUC